Molecule: non-coding RNA, 2613 nt
Organism: Pelodiscus sinensis (Chinese soft-shelled turtle)
Lineage: Eukaryota; Metazoa; Chordata; Testudines; Trionychidae
Source: RefSeq, a predicted model, not a curated record
UUUUGCUUCCAACAUUAUGCUCCUCCAGCUGUCAGAGAGACAUCACCCAAAACACUGUUGCCGCAAGAGGGUACAGCUGCUUAUUUUCUUCAUGUGCUUCUAUGCUGCCCUGCAGAUACUGUUUCUUCUCGCCUAAUUGAGCAGCAGCUCUUCCUGGGACUGGUUUGCAAUAAUCCUGAGGCCUCAUCAGGGAAAACAUUCUGAAAAGUAGAGAAGGAAAAGCUGCCCAAGUGAGCCAGCUUUUGCCAGGAGUCUCCCUCUGUAGUUCCAGGAAUGGAGUUAUGGAAGUGUCUGGUGUUUCAAAAUAUAACCUUAAUAGAAGAGGGAGCAGAUAAUUCCAGUGUGGACAUCAGUGAUGGAAAGCUGACCAAAGAUAUUUUAAGGUAAGAUUUGAGGGAGAAAUGGCAAAUUGGCUGGUAACGUGUAUUAUAUUAUUCAGCCAAAUAGUCAGUCUCUGGAUGUGUCAGAGACUUACAAUGAUAUACAAUCUAUACAAAUAACUCCUAUAGUGGUGUCUAGACAAGCUGUCUCGUCACAUGGAACUUCAUAGGAUUCAGCAGACCAUGGCAGGGACUAGAACCAGAGUCUCUGAAGUAAAUGAACAUGGAACAUGCUGACUUUAACCUCUGGACCAAUUAAAACUGCCAUCUCUUGAAAAUAAAUGUGAAACUACCACAGAGCUAUCAUUUAACAGAAACGUAAAUUUUUCUCUUUGUACUGUACGUAGUCUUUGCAUGUUGCAUUCCACCAUGUAUUAGUCACCUAUUCGUUUAUUACCAGAGUUUGGCAUGAGUUAACACCCUUUUAUUUAAGACAAAAAUGCUGAAAAAUAAUAAAAAAGACACAAUAGGACUGCAGACAUAAUGGACUGGUACCAGCUGAACUUCAUACAUGCAAUGUCAAAUUGAACUCAGAACUUUUCCUCCAAAACAGACCUCUACCUUUUGAAUGAGAUCAGAAUAUCCAUUAUUAAGACUACCAGGCAGUCAGCAGUAUUGAGUAUUUUUUCCUUUUAUAGACCUCAGGCCACUAGAGGAGACACAAUCAUAUUGGACAGGGCCUAAUUCUAUCUAGUCAAGGGAAAUAGUACUACACAGACACAUGCAUCAGCGUAUUAAACGUCUAACAAGGAGGAAGCAUUAUUGUUACUAUGAAGAAGUGGGUUGUGCCCACUGUUAGUAGGAAUUUAAUGUUAACAGAAAUGCACUGAAACAAAAUGGAGACUGAAUCUAAAAGGACAAUCCAAAAUGGAGUUGUGGUGCAUGAUGGGACUUUAAAAUGGAACCCAACAGACUGUGAGGACUUUUUGCCACCAAAACAUCCUCUGCACAUGGCACGUGUCCAUGCACACUGCACCAGUUGUCUGCACCCAGCACCAUGUGUUUGCACACAGCACCACGCCCUGCUUUGCACUCAAGACCAUUGGAGUUUCCCGCCUUGGAUUCUAUAAAACCUAGAAGUCUGAGGAGAUCUGGUCGGCAGUUUCUCACUACACCUGGAGAAGGAGUCGUCAUGUCACAGAGGAGACUAUGGUGAAGGCCCAGUCUAACCUGUCUGGUUCUACUCCUGCCGCCCUCAGGGUGCUUCGGCCCACUCUGUGGCGAAAGCCCAGUAUCGUGAGCCCUAGCUACUUGAUAUCCGAUCCUACGUCAUCGGGACCGCAUAGAGCCUCCGGCAUCAGCUGUGGUGAAGGCCCUCCUGGUGUUUAACAUCUCACAAACUGCGCAUCUGUCAGCCAUGCAAGCAGAGGCUAACAUCAUCAAACGUCUCUACUUCACCAAGGACACCUCAGUGCUCUUCCCGACAGCUACCUUAGUUAAAGGGUUGUAGGUCCUGAAUAUCAACUGCCUCUGACAGACUGAGUAUAACAUCAAUUAUAUCAUUCCUGUCCUCUUUUAUUUUCAGAGGGUGAGGGGUUGGUCAUUGAUUUAGUGUUGUGUUUAUUACCUGUUGUAUUCAAUACAGUUUUGCAUUUUUCAAACAUAAUGAUCAGAGUCAGUGUUUAUUAACAUCUGAGAGAUCCGCAGGUGAUAGAUACAGUGGGUUCCAGGCCAGAUCGCCUUCUGGGACAAAGGCAUUUACCACCUAGUCAGCAAGCCCAGUCUAAAUUGGUUUACUAGAGCGCCUUUGCUGGUAACACCACAAAAGCUCAUGAUACCAUACAUGUUUUGUUAGUCUAUAAGGUGCUACUAGACUUUUUAAGUUUUUCCUGUUACAGACUAACUCUGCUACCCCUCUGAAGUUUUUAUAUAGUUUAUGUUAGCCAACAGACUUGCUGGGUCCCUGGGCAAGCUCAAGGUCCCUGAGGGGGGCUGGUUCUAUGCUCCCAGAAGGGGCGGGCCUGGGACAGCCAGCCCUCAGCACUGCUCAGGGAACGUUGCACUGCUCUCCCGAAUCAUACUGUGUAAUGCACUACAGGGCUCUGGUCGCCACUGUUCUUGCAGCAGAGGUGGCAGUGGGGAGCCCAGGGCCCCUUUCAAAACUCCCCCUUCCUCUGGUUGGCAGGCCUUGCUCUAUUAUACACAUAUGCCAAGAUCUACCACCCUGGAUAUGGUCAUUUUAAAAAGGGUCCGACAUUGCCAUAUGUCAUUUCAGAGUUUGGCCUUAUGCUAU